This 253-nucleotide ribosomal RNA is filed under the name uncultured bacterium. RNAcentral describes it as "partial 16S ribosomal RNA". It matches the Rfam family "Bacterial small subunit ribosomal RNA", at positions 524 to 776 of the family's 1533-position model. The record is from RNAcentral.
UACGUAGGGUGCAAGCGUUGUCCGGAAUUAUUGGGCGUAAAGAGCUCGUAGGCGGCUUGUCGCGUCUGCUGUGAAAACCAGAGGCUCAACCUCUGGCCUGCAGUGGGUACGGGCAAGCUAGAGUGCGGUAGGGGAGAUUGGAAUUCCUGGUGUAGCGGUGAAAUGCGCAGAUAUCAGGAGGAACACCGGUGGCGAAGGCGGGUCUCUGGGCAGUAACUGACGCUGAGGAGCGAAAGCGUGGGGAGCGAACAGG